RNAcentral lists this ribosomal RNA (434 nucleotides) under uncultured Lachnospiraceae bacterium. RNAcentral describes it as "partial 16S ribosomal RNA". It matches the Rfam family "Bacterial small subunit ribosomal RNA", at positions 341 to 792 of the family's 1533-position model. Lineage: Bacteria; Bacillati; Bacillota; Clostridia; Lachnospirales; Lachnospiraceae. The record is from RNAcentral.
ACGGAAGGCAGCAGUGGGGAAUAUUGGACAAUGGGGGAAACCCUGAUCCAGCGACGCCGCGUGAGUGAAGAAGUAUUUCGGUAUGUAAAGCUCUAUCAGCAAGGAAGAAAAUGACGGUACUUGACUAAGAAGCUCCGGCUAAAUACGUGCCAGCAGCCGCGGUAAUACGUAUGGAGCAAGCGUUAUCCGGAUUUACUGGGUGUAAAGGGAGCGUAGACGGCAAAGCAAGUCUGAAGUGAAAUCCCGGGGCUCAACCCCGGAACUGCUUUGGAAACUGUUUAGCUAGAGUGCAGGAGAGGUAAGCGGAAUUCCUAGUGUAGCGGUGAAAUGCGUAGGUAUUAGGAGGAACACCAGUGGCGAAGGCGGCUUACUGGACUGUAACUGACGUUGAGGCUCGAAAACGUGGGGAGCAAACAGGAUUAGAUACCCUGGUA